GGUAAUUUAUUAGUUUUUGGGGCUAGAAGGAAAGUUAAUGAGGCUAAAGAAAUAAAAGUGAAUGGUGAUCUUUCUUAUGCUCUUGGCACAGGCCCAUUCUUUUCAUUUAAGGCUCAAAGGGGAUAACUAGUGACAAUGUAAUAAGAUAGGUUUUUUAGCUCAAGCAUGUCAAAGAAUGCCUAAAUCAUUUCUAAGUUAGUAGAUUGUCUAGAAUUUUACCUCGAGUGUAAUAAAAUAAGUUCUAAAGUAUCCUAUCAUA
RNAcentral lists this long non-coding RNA (259 nucleotides) under Elaeis guineensis (African oil palm). RNAcentral's name for it is "long non-coding RNA (EGUI_LNC031744)". The record is from RNAcentral. Lineage: Eukaryota; Viridiplantae; Streptophyta; Magnoliopsida; Arecales; Arecaceae.